UCCGAAUUGGUGUAGUGGCCAACAUUUGACGCUCUCAUUUGACUUCGUUCCCCUCUGUCGCCAGAGGUUGAAGUGGAAUGCCUGUGCCGUCAAGCCCGGGGUUCGAUUCCCCGAUUCGGAG
Molecule: non-coding RNA, 121 nt
Organism: Xylaria telfairii
Lineage: Eukaryota; Fungi; Ascomycota; Sordariomycetes; Xylariales; Xylariaceae
Source: the annotation of a GenBank genome assembly